CGGCCGCCCGGCGUGCGCCGCGCACAGCCGCGCCCCGGGCGCUGCGGCCCGCGGCUCCCCCUGCGCCAUGCCGCGGGCGGCCGCGAGGGUGGGAAGAGGAGCAUGCGGAGCCGGCAGGCGAGGGGGAGGCGGAAGGUUGGUCUCAGCUGGAAUAUAACUUCCUGACGUAGCUGAGUGGCUUCCAAAGAAACUUUCUGCCAGUGCUACGGGUUGUGACGGAACAUUCCAAACAUUCUACAGUGCCAAAUUUAAGGUCUUGGUGCAGAUCUGGGCAUCUUGGCAGCCAUCUACAAGAAAACAACCGACCAACUCAAAACCAAGUGGAAUCACCACUUCAGCAAAGACAUUGAGGACUGUAACUUGCAUGGCACUAAUACACCACUGAACGCACUGAACAGCCUUCAGUCACUGCCACACAGGGGCUGAGUGUUAAAUAAGGCUGAACUGAAGAAUCCUGUAUCAAAGUGGUCUGUUUUCAAUAGAAGUCACCCUUCCCACUGGUUAAGAAGAGAAAUAAUUUUUACUGCAGAAAUCAGAGUUUAUCUUGGUUUUGUUUGCCCCAGAACUACCCAUUUCCAGAGGGACCACACAGGGAAGAUCUAUUUUAUUCUGAGUCAAGGAAACCUUCUGGAAACAUAUGCAUACAUGUGUGUAUUUUAAGUGUUUUAAUUGCACAGUUAGAAAAAUGUUUUAGCAGUGCUGUGUGAGUUCAGUUUUCAUGUUCAAGUUGUUG
Molecule: long non-coding RNA, 733 nt
Organism: Passer montanus (Eurasian tree sparrow)
Lineage: Eukaryota; Metazoa; Chordata; Aves; Passeriformes; Passeridae
Exons: 3
Source: RefSeq, a predicted model, not a curated record